GAUGAAGAACGUAGCGAAAUGCGAUAAUUAAUGUGAAUUGCAGAAUUCCGUGAAUCAUCGAGUCUUUGAACGCACAUUGCGCCUCAUGGUAUUCCGUGAGGCAUGCCCAUCUCAGCGUUAGAAAAUAUUCUCAAAUUUUAGUUUUGUGCUAAAAUUUGGAUCAUGUCAAGGAAGCUAUUACUAUUAUUGUGAUCGCUCUUUGGAAAUUGAUAGGUCUUUGAGUUGCUACUCAUAGAACGUGAUGAAUCUUUCUUCGUUCUAUUGUAAUUCACUCUGGUAGUCCUAAAACUUGUAUGCCUGUGGCAUAUCUUGUAAUUUGACCUGAGAUUGGGUAGGGAUACCCGCUGAACUUAAGCAUAUCAAUAAGCGGAGGA
This 374-nucleotide unclassified non-coding RNA is filed under the name soil metagenome. RNAcentral's name for it is "partial contains 5.8S ribosomal RNA, internal transcribed spacer 2, and large subunit ribosomal RNA". The stretch from base 1 to 120 matches the Rfam family "5.8S ribosomal RNA", at positions 35 to 154 of the family's 154-position model. The record is from RNAcentral.